RNAcentral lists this transfer RNA (64 nucleotides) under Kurthia senegalensis. It matches the Rfam family "tRNA", at positions 5 to 66 of the family's 71-position model. From Rfam's summary of the family: Transfer RNA (tRNA) molecules are approximately 80 nucleotides in length. Their secondary structure includes four short double-helical elements and three loops (D, anti-codon, and T loops). Lineage: Bacteria; Bacillati; Bacillota; Bacilli; Caryophanales; Caryophanaceae. The record is from RNAcentral.
GGGUGGAGCAGUGGUAGCUCGUCGGGCUCAUAACCCGAAGGUCGCAGGUUCAAAUCCUGUCCCC